RNAcentral lists this non-coding RNA (127 nucleotides) under Streptomyces albireticuli. The record is from RNAcentral. Lineage: Bacteria; Bacillati; Actinomycetota; Actinomycetes; Kitasatosporales; Streptomycetaceae.
AGAGGAAGCCGGUGCGAGUCCGGCGCGGUCCCGCCACUGUCACCGGGGAGCGUCCUCCACCGAGGGCCACGGUCCGCCUGCCGGACCGGAAGGCCGGAACGACGCCGAUCCGGGAGCCAGGAGACUC